Molecule: non-coding RNA, 257 nt
Filed under: Clostridium sp.
Lineage: Bacteria; Bacillati; Bacillota; Clostridia; Eubacteriales; Clostridiaceae
Description: T-box sequence
Rfam family: T-box leader
About the family: Uncharged tRNA acts as the effector for transcription antitermination of genes in the T-box leader family.
Source: RNAcentral
AUAUAUGCUAUGAUGAAGAAAAGUAAAUUCAAAUAGAUGAUUUAAAGAGAGCAGAUGGCGGUGGGAUAUCUGCAUGAGUCUUGAAUUGAAAGAACACUUCGGAGCAAUUAACUGAAAUUUUAAUGAAAAGAGUAGGCUUAAUCGGGUCCAUGCCGUUACAAGUGGAGGGUAUAAAGCAAUUUUAGUUUUGUACUUGGUUGAGGUGAGUUUUUAUAAACUAACUAGGGUGGUACCGCGAAGAUAUUCUCGUCCCUAUG